GUCUUUGGCUGUGAAACAAUUCUAAACAUCAUUAAACUAUCAUAUAUUCUGGCAGAGUUGCUGGUGUCUGCUCCAAGAAAGGCAAGAGAUGACAGCAUUAAAAAUUAGGUCUUAGAUAAGUUUAACAGACAGGGCAAAGGGAACGUAAAAAAUUCCUUCAUCAUACAUGAAGAAACUCAUGGGCACCACUGAUAAUGUUUAUCAAGAGUGCUCCUCAGGGGUGUUCAGAAAAAGGAACCAGAUUUUGGAUGUUUAAUCAGUCUUUCUGGUAUGCAAAACUGAGUGUAAAAUCACUCAAGGAACCCUCAGAGGACUGAAAAGAGGAGCAGAGAGUUUCUCACACACGCAGCAGGAUAUGACAAGGCUGAUCCCUCACAGAGAGAGUGCUGCUUUCUAUGGAUGCUUCAGGAACUGAAGAAUGUCUCUUUCACUCCUUUAUCUUGUAUCAUGCUGACAAUUGUCCUGCCUGAACCCCACCCCCAACCCCACCUAUGCUUAAGGGUGGAAUAAACUCUGUCCAAAAGGCCCUAUUCCUUUUCUCAGAA
This is a non-coding RNA of Rattus norvegicus (Norway rat), 545 nucleotides long. Lineage: Eukaryota; Metazoa; Chordata; Mammalia; Rodentia; Muridae. The record is from RefSeq and is a predicted model, not a curated record.